CGCAAAAUGGCUGAAACUUGUAGGCGGUUGGUUGUAAACCUUCUUAUGGGACCUCUCUUUUGUGA
Molecule: transfer RNA, 65 nt
Filed under: Gigantidas platifrons
Lineage: Eukaryota; Metazoa; Mollusca; Bivalvia; Mytilida; Modiolidae
Description: tRNA-Tyr
Source: RNAcentral